GGCUUAAAAGAGGAGUUUAAGAAGGAGAUGUAGAUAAGGAAGAAGCAGAGGAGAGGAAAGAAGGGGUCACCUAUGAGAAAUGGAUGGAGAUGGAGAGAGCCAUCAUAGAGGGGGAGGCCUUAUAGUAGAUCUAGAGGAGGAUAAAGAGGAUAUGUGAGUGAGGAAAGAGAGGAUGGGGAAGAAGAGAUCAUCGCAAGGAAUGGACAUAGGUAUAGGGAGCCACCAUGGAAGAGGAGGAUACAUGGGCAGUAGGAAGACGAUGACUAGGAAGAGGGG
This 276-nucleotide long non-coding RNA is filed under the name Elaeis guineensis (African oil palm). RNAcentral's name for it is "long non-coding RNA (EGUI_LNC038425)". The record is from RNAcentral. Lineage: Eukaryota; Viridiplantae; Streptophyta; Magnoliopsida; Arecales; Arecaceae.